UGGUCAAGUUAUUAAGGGUGCAGGGCGGAUGCCUUGGCACUAGGAGCCGAUGAAGGACGUGAUAAGCUGCGAUAAGCUUCGGGGAGUUGCACGUAAACUUUGAUCCGAAGAUUUCCGAAUGAGGAAACUCACUUAGAGUAAUGUCUAAGUAUCAUUAAGUGAAUACAUAGCUUAAUGAGGGGAACUCAGGGAACUGAAACAUCUAAGUACCUGAAGGAAGAGAAAGAAAUUCGAUUCCGUAAGUAGCGGCGAGC
This 254-nucleotide ribosomal RNA is filed under the name Clostridioides difficile. RNAcentral's name for it is "partial 23S ribosomal RNA". It matches the Rfam family "Bacterial large subunit ribosomal RNA", at positions 1 to 254 of the family's 2925-position model. Lineage: Bacteria; Bacillati; Bacillota; Clostridia; Peptostreptococcales; Peptostreptococcaceae. The record is from RNAcentral.